This 423-nucleotide small RNA is filed under the name Pan troglodytes (chimpanzee). Its description in RNAcentral is "retained intron". The record is from RNAcentral. Lineage: Eukaryota; Metazoa; Chordata; Mammalia; Primates; Hominidae.
CUGUGGAGAUCCGCGGAGGCCGACAGGAUUCGUUGGCUGCCGUCCCCGCUGCUGUGCAUUGGGGAUGGAGGUUAGGGAAUGGAGAUUUCCUCUAAUGAUUCAAGGCUGUGCACGUUGCUCCUUAGGAACUCAAAUUGAGGUUAAAAACGACAACCAACAUCAGCCAUGAAAGAUCCAAGUCGCAGCAGUACUAGCCCAAGCAUCAUCAAUGAAGAUGUGAUUAUUAACGGUCAUUCUCAUGAAGAUGACAAUCCAUUUGCAGAGUACAUGUGGAUGGAAAAUGAAGAAGAAUUCAACAGACAAGUUAGUUUUUUGUACAAACAUGUUUUUAUAGUCCAUUCUGGCCCUCAAUAUGAUUGUACUUGUCCCUGAAAUGUGUUUAUCUUGUCCUUUAUGUAUAAAGUAUGUAGACUGAUGUGCCAC